Molecule: ribosomal RNA, 253 nt
Filed under: uncultured bacterium
Lineage: Bacteria
Description: partial 16S ribosomal RNA
Rfam family: Bacterial small subunit ribosomal RNA
Source: RNAcentral
UACGUAGGGUGCAAGCGUUAAUCGGAAUUACUGGGCGUAAAGCGUGCGCAGGCGGUUGUGCAAGACCGAUGUGAAAGCCCCGGGCUCAACCUGGGAAUGGCGAUGGAUACUGGCUCGCUAGAGUGCGGUAGAGGAGAGUGGAAUUCCCGGUGUAGCAGUGAAAUGCGUAGAGAUCGGGAGGAACAUCAGUUGCGAAGGCGGCUCUCUGGACCAGCACUGACACUGAGGCACGAAAGCGUGGGGAGCAAACAGG